CCUACGGGAGGCUGCAGUGAGGAAUAUUGGUCAAUGGACGCGAGUCUGAACCAGCCAAGUAGCGUGAAGGAUGACUGCCCUAUGGGUUGUAAACUUCUUUUAUUUGGGAAUAAAAUGAUCCACGUGUGGCUUUUUGUAUGUACCAUAUGAAUAAGGAUCGGCUAACUCCGUGCCAGCAGCCGCGGUAAUACGGGGAAUCCGAGCGUUAUCCGGAUUUAUUGGGUUUAAAGGGGGCGUAGAGGGACUGUUAAGUCAGCGGUAAAAGUCUGGGGCUAAACCCCGACCAGCCGUUGAAACUGGCUGUCUUGAGAUGUCGAGAGGUAUGCGGAAUGCGCAGUGUAGCGGUGAAAUGCUUAGAUAUUGCGCAGAACUCCGAUUGCGAAGGCAGCAUACCGGCGGCGAUCUGACGCUGAGGCACGAAAGCGUGGGUAUCGAACAGGAUUAGAUACCCCAGUAGUC
This 459-nucleotide ribosomal RNA is filed under the name uncultured bacterium. RNAcentral's name for it is "partial 16S ribosomal RNA". It matches the Rfam family "Bacterial small subunit ribosomal RNA", at positions 338 to 795 of the family's 1533-position model. The record is from RNAcentral.